This 502-nucleotide ribosomal RNA is filed under the name Mycocentrospora acerina. Its description in RNAcentral is "eukaryotic LSU rRNA". The stretch from base 156 to 309 matches the Rfam family "5.8S ribosomal RNA". The record is from RNAcentral. Lineage: Eukaryota; Fungi; Ascomycota; Dothideomycetes; Pleosporales.
CGGAAGGAUCAUUACUGAGAGUACCGGGCUCUGCCUGGCUACUUUUACCCAUGUUUUUAUAGUACCAAAAGUUUCCUCGGCGGCUCUGCCCGCCGGUCGGACUCCAUUCAAACCCUUUGUAGUUGCAGUCAGCGUCUGAUAAACAUAAUAAUUACAACUUUCAACAACGGAUCUCUUGGUUCUGGCAUCGAUGAAGAACGCAGCGAAAUGCGAUAAGUAGUGUGAAUUGCAGAAUUCAGUGAAUCAUCGAAUCUUUGAACGCACAUUGCACCUCUCGGUAUUCCGGGAGGUAUGCCUGUUCGAGCGUCAUUUGUACCCUCAAGCUCUGCUUGGUGUUGGGUGUUUGUUCCGCCUUUGCGUGUGAACUCGCCUUAAAACAAUUGGCAGCCGGCGUACUUGCUUCGGAGCGCAGCACAUUUUGCGUUCAGAUCAAUGUACUCUAGCAUCCAAGAAGCCUUAUUUAACGCUCUUGACCUCGGAUCAGGUAGGGAUACCCGCUGAA